Molecule: ribosomal RNA, 476 nt
Filed under: uncultured Alphaproteobacteria bacterium
Lineage: Bacteria; Pseudomonadati; Pseudomonadota; Alphaproteobacteria
Description: bacterial SSU rRNA
Rfam family: Bacterial small subunit ribosomal RNA
Source: RNAcentral
GAGUUUGAUCAUGGCUCAGAACGAACGCUGGCGGCAUGCCUAACACAUGCAAGUCGAACGGGAUCCGGACUUCGGUCCGGUGAGAGUGGCGGACGGGUGAGUAACGCGUGGGAACCUGCCCAAUGGUCUGGGAUAACCGCGGGAAACUGCGGCUAAUACCGGAUAAGCUCGAGAGGGGAAAGAUUUAUCGCCGAUGGAGGGGCCCGCGUCCGAUUAGGUAGUUGGUGAGGUAACGGCUCACCAAGCCGACGAUCGGUAGCUGGUCUGAGAGGAUGAUCAGCCACACUGGGACUGAGAUACGGCCCAGACUCCUACGGGAGGCAGCAGUGGGGAAUAUUGGACAAUGGGGGCAACCCUGAUCCAGCAAUGCCGCGUGAGUGAUGAAGGCCUUAGGGUUGUAAAGCUCUUUUGGCGGGGACGAUGAUGACGGUACCCGCAGAAUAAGCCCCGGCUAACUUCGUGCCAGCAGCCGCCGU